This 1657-nucleotide ribosomal RNA is filed under the name Callionymus olidus. Its description in RNAcentral is "16S ribosomal RNA". It matches the Rfam family "Bacterial large subunit ribosomal RNA". Lineage: Eukaryota; Metazoa; Chordata; Actinopteri; Syngnathiformes; Callionymidae. The record is from RNAcentral.
GUCUAACAACUAGCAACAGAUUAAAACUAAUAAUUAAGUAUUCUUAUAUAAUGAAUAAGUUAAUUAAAUAAAACAAAUCAUUUUUUAGCCUUAGUAUGGGAGACAGAAAAGGCUCUAUUAGCUAUAGAAAAAGUACCGCAAGGGAAAGUUGAAAGAGAGUUGAAAAGAUAAGUGCCACCCAAAAAAGCAGAGAUUAACCCUCGUACCUUUUGCAUCAUGAUUUAGCAAGUGUACAUUAAGCAAAAAGUCUUACAGUUUAAUUACCCGAAACCAAGUGAGCUACUCCGAGACAACCUUAUUUUAGGGUGUACCCGUCUCUGUCGCAAAAGAGUGGGAUGAGCUCCGAGUAGAGGUGACAUACCUAUCGAACUUGGUUAUAGCUGGUUACCUGAGAAAUGGAUAGUAGUUCAGCACUUCUUCUUCUUGAACCAACUUGUUUAACCUAUUCAGGUCUAAUAGAAGUUUAAGCAGUUAGUUUAAAGGGGUACAGCCCUUUAAACAUAAAAUACAAUUUACCAAAUGGAUAAAGAUCAUAAUAUUAAAGGCGUAAUACUCAAGUGGGCUUGAAAGCAGCCACCUUAAAAUGAAAGCGUUAAAGCUCGUGUAUCAUUCUACUCCUAUUAUACCGAAAACCCCAUCUUAAUCCUUUUUAAUUAUCAGGUUAUGUUAUUAUACUUAACAAUAAUUAUGCUAAAAUGAGUAAUAAGGGGCAGACCCCCUCCUUGCACAAGUGUACGUCGGAACGAACCCGCACCGACCAUUAACGACUUCAAACAGAGAAAAGCGAGUAAGUUGUAAGUAACUAGAAAAACCCCCGCAUUUAAACGUUAAACCCACACUGGUGUGCACCAAGGAAAGAUUUAAAGGAAGAGAAGGAACUCGGCAAACUCAAGCCUCGCCUGUUUACCAAAAACAUCGCCUCUUGUAACUUACUAAAUAAGAGGUCCCGCCUGCCCGGUGACUUAAUGUUUAACGGCCGCGGUAUUUUAACCGUGCAAAGGUAGCGUAAUCACUUGUCUUUUAAAUGAAGACCUGUAUGAAAGGCAUCACGAGGGCUUAGCUGUCUCCUCUCCCCAAUCAAUGAAAUUGAUCUCCCCGUGCAGAAGCUGGGAUGAUAACAUAAGACGAGAAGACCCUAUGGAGCUUUAAACAUAUCAGGUUUACGUCACUGACCCCUAAAUAAAGGAGUAAACUAAAUAUACACCUAGAAAAUGUUUUUGGUUGGGGCGACCACGGGAAAACAAAUAACUCCCAUGACGAAAAAGUAUAACUUUUGAAGCUAAGACAAUCAAGUCUAAGCCAUAGAAAUUCUAACAAAUGAUCCGGCCUGCCGAUCAACGAAACGAGUUACCCUAGGGAUAACAGCGCAAUCCCCUUUAAGAGACCUUAUCAGCAAGGGGGUUUACGACCUCGAUGUUGGAUCAGGACAUCCUAAUGGUGCAGCCGCUAUUAAGGGUUCGUUUGUUCAACGAUUAAAGUCCUACGUGAUCUGAGUUCAGACCGGAGUAAUCCAGGUCAGUUUCUAUCUAUGACAGACUUCUUCUAGUACGAAAGGACCGAAGAAGUAAGGCCCAUGCUAAAAGUAAGCCUUAACCCCACCUGCUGAAGACAAAUAAAGCAGGCAAGGGGUUAAAAAUAUGGUCCUAGAUUAGGAUUU